Molecule: ribosomal RNA, 390 nt
Filed under: Triticum aestivum (bread wheat)
Lineage: Eukaryota; Viridiplantae; Streptophyta; Magnoliopsida; Poales; Poaceae
Description: partial small subunit ribosomal RNA
Source: RNAcentral
AUGCAUGUCAUGGAGACGCGGUUUCGAAACAAUGCUGCCCACCGAGAAGACCUGCUUGGGCUUAUGAUUCAGGCCCGCAGGUCGGGUGCCAACACACUGAGCAACGAAGAAAUCGUCGGGGAAUGCAAGACUUUCUUUGCCACAGGGACAAUUACCAGCACAACCCUCCUUGCUUGGACAAUGUUCCUGAUCAGCAUCUACCCACAGUGGCAGGCGAAGAUCAGGGAGGAAGUCCUCCGUGAAUGCCAUGAAGAGGAACAAGGUGAGGUAUUGAGCAUCAACAUUCUCGGGAAACUGAAGCUGCUUAAUAUGGUUCUCCCUGAGACACUAAGGCUCUAUAAUCCUAUACCGUUCAUGACAAGAAGGGUCGCCUCUGAUACCAUCUUGUAA